This 628-nucleotide ribosomal RNA is filed under the name uncultured Ralstonia sp. RNAcentral's name for it is "bacterial SSU rRNA". It matches the Rfam family "Bacterial small subunit ribosomal RNA", at positions 140 to 763 of the family's 1533-position model. Lineage: Bacteria; Pseudomonadati; Pseudomonadota; Betaproteobacteria; Burkholderiales; Burkholderiaceae. The record is from RNAcentral.
GGGAUAACUAGUCGAAAGAUUAGCUAAUACCGCAUACGACCUGAGGGUGAAAGUGGGGGACCGCAAGGCCUCAUGCUAUAGGAGCGGCCGAUGUCUGAUUAGCUAGUUGGUGAGGUAAAGGCUCACCAAGGCGACGAUCAGUAGCUGGUCUGAGAGGACGAUCAGCCACACUGGGACUGAGACACGGCCCAGACUCCUACGGGAGGCAGCAGUGGGGAAUUUUGGACAAUGGGCGAAAGCCUGAUCCAGCAAUGCCGCGUGUGUGAAGAAGGCCUUCGGGUUGUAAAGCACUUUUGUCCGGAAAGAAAUGGCUCUGGUUAAUACCUGGGGUCGAUGACGGUACCGGAAGAAUAAGGACCGGCUAACUACGUGCCAGCAGCCGCGGUAAUACGUAGGGUCCAAGCGUUAAUCGGAAUUACUGGGCGUAAAGCGUGCGCAGGCGGUUGUGCAAGACCGAUGUGAAAUCCCCGAGCUUAACUUGGGAAUUGCAUUGGUGACUGCACGGCUAGAGUGUGUCAGAGGGGGGUAGAAUUCCACGUGUAGCAGUGAAAUGCGUAGAGAUGUGGAGGAAUACCGAUGGCGAAGGCAGCCCCCUGGGAUAACACUGACGCUCAUGCACGAAAGCGUG